UACGUAGGGUGCGAGCGUUAAUCGGAAUUACUGGGCGUAAAGCGUGCGCAGGCGGUUUCGUAAGACAGAUGUGAAAUCCCCGGGCUUAACCUGGGAACUGCGUUUGUGACUGCGAGACUUGAGUGUGGCAGAGGGGGGUGGAAUUCCACGUGUAGCAGUGAAAUGCGUAGAGAUGUGGAGGAACACCGAUGGCGAAGGCAGCCCCCUGGGUUAACACUGACGCUCAUGCACGAAAGCGUGGGUAGCAAACAGG
Molecule: ribosomal RNA, 253 nt
Filed under: uncultured bacterium
Lineage: Bacteria
Description: partial 16S ribosomal RNA
Rfam family: Bacterial small subunit ribosomal RNA
Source: RNAcentral